This is a non-coding RNA of Phrynosoma platyrhinos (Desert horned lizard), 73 nucleotides long. The record is from the annotation of a GenBank genome assembly. Lineage: Eukaryota; Metazoa; Chordata; Lepidosauria; Squamata; Phrynosomatidae.
GCCUAUCCCUGGUGUAGUGGUUUGAGUACUGGACUAUAACUCUGGAGACUGGGGUUCAAUUCCCUGCUCGGCC